Molecule: ribosomal RNA, 468 nt
Filed under: uncultured bacterium
Lineage: Bacteria
Description: partial 16S ribosomal RNA
Rfam family: Bacterial small subunit ribosomal RNA
Source: RNAcentral
GACGAACGCUGGCGGCGUGCUUAACACAUGCAAGUCGAACGGAAAGGCCCUGCUUUUGUGGGGUGCUCGAGUGGCGAACGGGUGAGUAACACGUGAGUAACCUGCCCUUGACUUUGGGAUAACUUCAGGAAACUGGGGCUAAUACCGGAUAGGAGCUCCUGCUGCAUGGUGGGGGUUGGAAAGUUUCGGCGGUUGGGGAUGGACUCGCGGCUUAUCAGCUUGUUGGUGGGGUAGUGGCUUACCAAGGCUUUGACGGGUAGCCGGCCUGAGAGGGUGACCGGCCACAUUGGGACUGAGAUACGGCCCAGACUCCUACGGGAGGCAGUAGUGGGGAAUAUUGCACAAUGGGCGGAAGCCUGAUGCAGCAACGCCGCGUGCGGGAUGACGGCCUUCGGGUUGUAAACCGCUUUCGCCUGUGGCGAAGCGUGAGUGACGGUAAUGGGUAAAGAAGCACCGGCUAACUACGUG